AGAUCCAUGUUAAGAUGAUCCAACAUCUAUUGGCUGUACAAUACCAGAAAUACUAACUGACGUCUGUAAGGAAAAUGCAGCUGCCUGGAAACUGUGUCGUAGGUCGUCUGGCUUGUGUGACUCAUGUUGGGACUACCUACCCUGCUCUUCACAAGGGGCACAGAAAGUGUUCUGUGGCAGAGAAGAAUAUGCUGUUCAGUAUUGCAGGAAAACAUGUGGAAAAUGUUCCCAUAAGCCAGUGGAUGUACAGUUGAAUAAAUGUGGAGACCCUGUGUAUUCAGAGGUAAUCUGUGAUCAGCUUCAGAGUGAAAUCUGUAUUUGUAAUGACCCCGAUCUUCGUGCGCUUUGUGGAAAGUAUUGUGAAAACAAGUGCGCAGUAUAUGGCUUUCCAUACACUGGAUCAAACUGCAAGUCAGCUAGGCGGAAGAAAAGGGAAGCAAUUCUGAACCAAAUCGUGUUAAAUUGAAAUUGUGUAAUAACUGUAAUAAUUAUAAUAAAUAAAUUUGGAAGAGUGUCUAAGCGCAUUACUUUCUCUUAUGCAUUAUAUUGCAUGUGAAGCGUUAUUGCUUUGUUUGACUUGUCUUAAAGAAAUCUUGACGUAUGUUUUAAGCGCAUCAGUUGCUCUUCUACAAUAUAUUGGUUGUUCAGCGUUA
Molecule: long non-coding RNA, 653 nt
Organism: Ruditapes philippinarum (Manila clam)
Lineage: Eukaryota; Metazoa; Mollusca; Bivalvia; Venerida; Veneridae
Exons: 4
Source: RefSeq, a predicted model, not a curated record